GUGGGGAAUAUUGGACAAUGGGCGAAAGCCUGAUCCAGCAAUGCCGCGUGAGUGAUGAAGGCCUUAGGGUUGUAAAGCUCUUUUACCUGGGAUGAUAAUGACAGUACCGGGAGAAUAAGCUCCGGCUAACUCCGUGCCAGCAGCCGCGGUAAUACGGAGGGAGCUAGCGUUGUUCGGAAUUACUGGGCGUAAAGCGCACGUAGGCGGCUUUGGAAGUUAGAGGUGAAAGCCUGGAGCUUAACUCCAGAACUGCCUUUAAGACUGCAUCGCUUGAAACCAGGAGAUGUGAGUGGAAUUCCGAGUGUAGAGGUGAAAUUCGUAGAUAUUCGGAAGAAAACCAGUGGCGAAGGCGGCUCACUGGACUGAUAUUGACGCUGAGGUGCGAAAGCGUGGGGAGCAAACUGGAUUAGAAACCCUGGUAGUCC
RNAcentral lists this ribosomal RNA (425 nucleotides) under uncultured bacterium. RNAcentral describes it as "partial 16S ribosomal RNA". It matches the Rfam family "Bacterial small subunit ribosomal RNA", at positions 354 to 796 of the family's 1533-position model. The record is from RNAcentral.